RNAcentral lists this unclassified non-coding RNA (254 nucleotides) under uncultured fungus. RNAcentral describes it as "partial contains small subunit ribosomal RNA, internal transcribed spacer 1, and 5.8S ribosomal RNA". The stretch from base 1 to 73 matches the Rfam family "Eukaryotic small subunit ribosomal RNA", at positions 1759 to 1831 of the family's 1831-position model. Lineage: Eukaryota; Fungi. The record is from RNAcentral.
GCAAACUUGGUCAUUUAGAGGAAGUAAAAGUCGUAACAAGGUUUCCGUAGGUGAACCUGCGGAAGGAUCAUUACACAAUUCAGGGCUUGCCCUGUCUUACUCACCCUUGUUCUUGUACCCGUUUCCUCGGCGAGGGCCCCGCCGAAGGACAAAUUUUCUAAAAACUUGUAGUUGCAAUUAGCGUUAGAAAAACAUAAAUACUUAAAACUUUCAACAACGGAUCUCUUGGUUCUGGCAUCGAUGAAGAACGCAGC